Long non-coding RNA from Oncorhynchus tshawytscha (Chinook salmon), 474 nucleotides. Lineage: Eukaryota; Metazoa; Chordata; Actinopteri; Salmoniformes; Salmonidae. The record is from Ensembl.
CUCCAGUAUGUCCGGGAAUCAGCCCUGUGGUCUAGGUGCCUGUUUCAACCCAACAACAGAACGUUGCUGUGUGAACCCUACAUCUCUCCAGGGACAAAGUUACUCCUACGACCAGACCUGCUGUGAGGGAACACUACGCCACACCCCAUAUCUCUACAAUGGUGCUAGCUGUGGCUCUCAGGUUUACAAUCCAGACAGUAAAAUCUGCUGUGCCGGGAAGCUGUCCAAUAGGGUGCUUGGAAAAAACCUGUGCUGUGGUACAACUCCGUAUGGUGUAGAGGACCGAGGGGUGCUGUGCUGUAACCAGACCUUGCACCAUGUGGUGGAGGAUGGGUACCAGUGCUCCCCAGGUGGCCACUUGUAUCUGCCAUCCCGUGACAUGGUGUGUGGCUCACGAGUUCAUCUGAACGAUCCAGGCAAACACUGCUGUGGGGAGGAGACAUAUUACCCUCAGAAUGAAAUCUGCUGCAACGG